GGAUACAGAAAUGACUCUGGUGGUAAGUAAAAGUAGUAAACAGUACGGUGCGAAUCGAGCUAUCGUCGACGUCGAAGCUGUCAAAUAUGGCGAGAAUGUCGAUCUUGAAUGCUGGUCAAAAAUGUGAAUAGAAGGUUCGCGUUGUAGUGAGAUUCGUGAAUCUCGUGUAUUCUCGUCGUCGGCAGAGGCCGGCGAGAGAUGCGAUCGGGAGUUAGACUGUCAAGCCGAAAGUGAAUGUGCCGAGUGAACGGCCCCGGCAGUUUUGCGGCCGGGAUUAAUCUAAGGGCAUGCCAAUUCGGAAACUAUGGGUGCUCAACAGACUAAGGAAGAAUUGUUCCUGUCGGCUCUGCUGCGCGACAAACACGUAAACAGCCAAGAAACCUCAAGGAGUCCCGUCUUGUUGGCUCUAAUAUAUUUACGGAGCAUAGCGAAGCUCUUUUACAAAGCAGACCGCUACCUCACAUUCCGGCAUUACCAGAUGGUGAUCCUCCAAAUGGAUCCGGUAUUCAGCCAAUUUCACAACAAAUAAAUAUUCAACAACAUACUGGAGUUUCUUCUGCUGGACUCUUGGAGGCUGCAAACAGGUUAAAUUUUAUUUUUUAUAAC
Long non-coding RNA from Apis florea (little honeybee), 606 nucleotides. NCBI's taxonomy places the organism in Eukaryota, Metazoa, Arthropoda, Insecta, Hymenoptera, Apidae. The record is from RefSeq and is a predicted model, not a curated record.